GCUUUUCAAAGUAAAUAAAAAAUAAACAAAUAAAUCAAUCAAUCAUAGAAAGAAUAGCUUUUCUUUCUCUACCUUACUUUGUUUUUAGACAUAAACAAUACUUCCAGGAGAUGAGUAACAUAGUGGAUAAUGAAGAAGAAUACGAAUAUGAAAAUAAAGAGGAUGUAUAUGACAAUGGAGAGGACCAUUAUGAUGAAGAAGAUGAUGUAGGGGUCGUAGGGGAAUAUAGAGAGGAUACAGACAUGGAGCAGUCCUCUACCCGAGAAGACUCUGAUGAGGGUGAAGAGGAGGAUGAAACCAACACAAAGAUCCCAUUACCAAAUAACGCUUGAGAAAGUUAUUAUGCCCACAUACAAGCCAUAAGUAGCUGUACAUGAGAUUCUUGUACUGAAGUUUCUGGAAGACAUGGCAUGCCUAUCUGGUCAUUAAAAAAAAAAAGAAAACUACCGAGUGAAAUUAUUAAACUUUGCAGCUAUUCUAUUGUUCUGCCAUUGCUAUACAGGUCUAUACAGGUCGCUUAGAAAGAUUUUAGACCAGAAAAGUUUAACGUAGACAAUGAAAAAAAAAUCUCACUAAACAACUAGCCAUCUAUGUUACAAAAGGCUCAAGAUCAGGGAAACAUGUCUAGCAGUAGUUUGUGGAUCAAUCAACUUCCAUUGUUGUACAUUCGAUAAUACGUUUUCUCUGAAUAAAAUCAUUUCCGUCAAGUGUACUGUGUGUAUGUGGGGUU
This is a long non-coding RNA of Electrophorus electricus (electric eel), 730 nucleotides long. Lineage: Eukaryota; Metazoa; Chordata; Actinopteri; Gymnotiformes; Gymnotidae. The record is from Ensembl.